CUUUAAAAAGAGCAGUAUUUUUCACAUUAGGACUUCCCCUGAACAUAAGCAAGGUGAGGGUCAUUUUGAUGACCUUACAUCUAUGUUUAAGGAUCAGCUACAGAACUGUGGGUGUCGGAAAUCUGUUGAGUGUCUUCGAGCUAUAAUACAUGACAUUUUUAUUGCAGGUUUUGACCUUUCUAUAGAGAACUGAUUCUGGAGAACAACUUAACUUCUGUGAUUGAAAACCCCUGUGUUCUACGUGAAAAGAGAUGGGAGAUUAAGGCUAUAACAGUUAACAUAGGCUGUACUGGUACUAUGUGAUAACAACUUGUUGGCCUCAAUUGAACAAGCAUUCUUGUCCCCUGAAGGAUGGACAAAUGGGCUGGAGAAUGAUUGUUAAGAGGAGGUUAUAUGACUGGUUAUUCAAAGAAAGAGGACUUUCCCGUUCUGAAUACAUGCCACCACUAUUCAUGGGUGGGAAAGAAUUGGUAGGAGUUUUUUAUCCAGGGCUUCAAGUGAGACUUCACAGUAUUUCUGAAGUAACUCUUAAGAGAGCUUGGUUCCUCUUUGGCUCACUGAAAAGGAUUCCUGCAUGCUGAGUCUGUGAUGCUACAAGGAAUCAUUUCAGAGAAUUACAAGGAUUCUUGUUGGCAUUGCCACUGUCCCAAGCUUUAAGUCUCAAGUAAGUAUCUCAACUUAACCAAAAUAGCCCUGUAAUUUCAGCUGUUUUUAUGGUUGGUUUGGAUUACACUAUAAUUGUUUAAUAAAUUACAUCAAUGUAGUCUCA
Molecule: long non-coding RNA, 769 nt
Filed under: Vombatus ursinus (common wombat)
Lineage: Eukaryota; Metazoa; Chordata; Mammalia; Diprotodontia; Vombatidae
Description: lncRNA (ENSVURG00010017893.1)
Source: RNAcentral